GUAGGGAAUAUUGGGCAAUGGGUGCAAGCCUGACCCAGCCAUCCCGCGUGCCGGAUGAAGGCCCUCUGGGUCGUAAACGGCUUUUGACGGUGAAGAACCGAAAGGGUGCGCCCUUUUUUGACGGUAGCCGUUGAAUAAGCACCGGCUAACUCCGUGCCAGCAGCCGCGGUAAUACGGAGGGUGCGAGCGUUGUCCGGAUUUAUUGGGUUUAAAGGGUGCGUAGGCUGGAGGGACAGUCAGCGGUGAAAAGCAGUUGCUCAACAAUUGUCUUGCCGCAGAUACUUCCUUUCUUGGAUGAGGAGGAGGCCACUGGAACGGAUGGUGUAGCGGUGAAAUGCAUAGAUAUCAUCCAGAACACCGAUUGCGAAGGCAGGUGGCUGCACCUUAAUCGACGCUGAUGCACGAAAGCAUGGGGAGCAAACAGGAUUAGAUACCCCAGUAGUCC
Molecule: ribosomal RNA, 445 nt
Filed under: uncultured bacterium
Lineage: Bacteria
Description: partial 16S ribosomal RNA
Rfam family: Bacterial small subunit ribosomal RNA
Source: RNAcentral